Molecule: unclassified non-coding RNA, 372 nt
Filed under: uncultured bacterium
Lineage: Bacteria
Description: contains 16S-23S intergenic spacer region
Source: RNAcentral
UCCGGUUUGUCACCGGCAGUCUCAUUAGAGUGCCCUUUCGUAGCAACUAAUGACAAGGGUUGCGCUCGUUGCGGGACUUAACCCAACAUCUCACGACACGAGCUGACAACAGCCAUGCAGCACCUGUCUCCAGGUUCCCGAAGGCACCCCCACAUCUCUGCGGAGUUCCUGGGAUGUCAAGACCAGGUAAGGUUCUUCGCGUUGCAUCGAAUUAAACCACAUGCUCCACCGCUUGUGCGGGUCCCCGUCAAUUCCUUUGAGUUUUAGCCUUGCGGCCGUACUCCCCAGGCGGGGCACUUAGUGCGUUAGCGACGGCGCGGGAGGAGUCGACACCUCCCACACCUAGUGCCCAUCGUUUACGGCGUGGACUAC